Bufo bufo (common toad) is the source of this 123-nucleotide long non-coding RNA. RefSeq lists it as uncharacterized. The record is from RefSeq and is a predicted model, not a curated record. The transcript is spliced from 3 exons. Lineage: Eukaryota; Metazoa; Chordata; Amphibia; Anura; Bufonidae.
UUUCAUCAUGUCUGUUUUGGAGUCCGUCUCAGCAAAAAAGAAAGGUUCCGUCAUCAUCUGUGGAGAUUUUAAUUUGGUAAUGGACCCACGUAUUGACAAAUCUACUCCUGAUGGCAGGGUAAA